UACGGAGGGUGCAAGCGUUAUCCGGAUUUAUUGGGUUUAAAGGGUGAGUAGGCGGGAUUAUAAGUCAGUGGUGAAAUCUUGCAGCUUAACUGUAAAAUUGCCAUUGAUACUGUAGUUCUUGAAUACAGUUGAGGUAGGCGGAAUGUGUAAUGUAGCGGUGAAAUGCGUAGAUAUUACACAGAACUCCAAUUGCGAAGGCAGCUUACUAAAUUGUCAUUGACGCUGAGGCACGAAAGCGUGGGGAGCAAACAGG
RNAcentral lists this ribosomal RNA (253 nucleotides) under uncultured bacterium. RNAcentral's name for it is "partial 16S ribosomal RNA". It matches the Rfam family "Bacterial small subunit ribosomal RNA", at positions 524 to 776 of the family's 1533-position model. The record is from RNAcentral.